GGCGCGCAGGCCGACCCCCUCCCCACUUGGCCCUGCCCCCAGGCUCCGCCCCGUCCUCCCGGAUCCGCUUCAGACCCACGCCUGCGCGGAGUGGCGGGAGCCGGCGGUGGUUUCGACGCUGGAAAAGAGUCACCGGCCGGCCUGUCUUUGGCUCCUGAUGGCGUCCUAUGUGAUACCCCUGUUGUCGUUUCCUCAGCCCACGCCGCCUUCUAGAUUCUCCAUCGAGGAUGUGGACUUGGGUCCGCAAGGAGGCCACCGGGGCCUCCAAAUGCCUGAUAACAUCUAAGAAGAACUGGAUUUCAAACAUGUUUCAGGACAUUAGCUUCAAACAAAUCUCACCCACCGCUGGCAUCGAUAUCCCCUCCCUGCGAUGAUUUUUGAAAUAACAACUAUUACUCACCUGUCACUCACCCUCGAAUCCAACCCUACCCUGGAUUCCUGGAGUAACACAUACCCUGGACCCUUUCAAUAUAAACUCUUAACCCCAAGUGGUGAAGAGACUCACUCUCGUUUCCUUUCCGAGUCUCCCACUCUGUCUGCUAUACUCUGUCACUUACACUGUUCAAUAAACUCUGCUUUCACUUCCCACUUCCUGAUUUCUCUCCUGCACAAAGCCAAGGACCCUCUUGACUUGUCCUGUGGGACCUCCUCUGUGUUCCUGGACCUGGCCUGUCUACAUCAAAAUGAUACAGAAGUUUGUAAAAAGAAAGCAUAUAUUUACAUCUGUAUAGACGUAUUUUAAUUUUUCAAAGGAAAAGUUAUUACAUCUGUUCUUCCCACCUUUUCAUCCUACUUCUCUGGUUGAUGGACGUUUAGCAGAUAGGUAUCUUCUCCUCUACGUCCACACAUAAGUAAAUGGAUGCGUGUAUAAACAUCCCCUCUAACCACUGUCCCCACUACCACGAACACAUACACAUGCACUAAAAAACCAAAACAUACAUUAAAAAAGCUAAGCGAAAAUUAGAAAGUUAGUCCCUUACUACAUAACUUGCCUUUUUCCUUAACCAAAGACCGCAGACAUCUUUCCAGGUCAGUACAUAUAUUUUUGCAACAGCAAAAAAUCUUGUAUGAACUGGUACUUUUUAUUUCUUUUGUCUGAAUUCCUAAAAGAGAAAUUACUGAGUGGAAUGAUGUGCGCAUCUCUAUUUGUCAGACCUCCAAAACAGGUUGUAGCAAUUUGUACUCUAAGCAUAAUAUCUGAGAAAGUUGGGUUCGACUGUAUGGGUGAAAAUGUGAAAGCCAUUGGUUCUCCUAAAUACAAGUGAGAUAAAGUCUCUUUUCAUAUGUUCCUUGAUGCUUGCAUUUUCUCUUGUGAAGAGAAAUCUUCUCCUCUUCUAGGAGAUCUUUGUGUCUUGGGGAAAAUUAUCCUCUGCUUGUCAUAUAGAAUGCAGUACUUUCUUGCUUACCAUUUUUCUUUGGCAUGGUUUAUAGCAUUUUUGCCAUAUAGGAUUUUGUAUGUGGUCAAACGUUUUUCGUUACUGGAUCCGAGUUUCCUGUGUAGCUUUAAAAAGCCUCGCUUAGUGCUUGCUUCUGCAGCACAUAUACUAAAAUUGGAAGGAUACAGAGAUUAGCAUGGCCCCUCCCUGCCCAUGCAGGAUGAUAUGCAAAUUUGUGAAACAUUAAAAAUAAAAUAAAAUAAAAUAAAAUAAAAUGGCCUCAUUUAUGCCAAGACUAAACAACCAACUAUCCAUCCAAAUGUUUUUCUCAUGCUUUUCUAGUUUGACUUCUUCCAUGCACAUCUUUAAUCAAUAUGAAAUGUAUUUCUACUUAAGUAUAGGGUAGAGCAUCUAACUGACAUUUUUUCCAGAUGGUUAGCAAGUUACGUGAAUAACUCUUACUAGGUAAAUUACUCUUUUUCUAUUGGAAUUGAAAUUUAAACAAUGCAGUGAACACUGAAUGUGUGCCAGGCAUUUCUAAGCAUCUUACUUGUAACUCAUAUAAUCCUCAUACCCCGUGGCAUUAGGUGAAAUGCCAGUUUAUCACAUAAGGUUUUUUUUUUUUUUAACACAGUUGCAUCUGUUUCUAGAGACUUUAUCUGCUUCACUAACCAAUACAGCAGAAAAGAGGAGAAAUGCACUGUGUGCGCACGUACACCUACUUCCCCUGCCCUCCACCACACUUUCCUUCAGUUCUUCUCUCGCCUCUGAGCACCACACUCCUACUUCCAGAUGCCGCCUCAGCAUCUCUGCUUGCGUUGCAACUUGUCUUCUCAGACACAUUGUGGCCCAGAUGGCACUCUUGAUUUCCCCCACCAGCCUGCCCAGCCACCCAGUCUUCCUCUGUGUCAGCCCCACCAAGCACCAUUGCUGCAUCCUCUUCCCACCCCUUGUAGCCAAUCCACUCUGGGGUGCCAGCUCCCCACCAGGAGCAGAUGGGGACUCUUCACUUCUCUGCACACCUUAGCCACCCUCUCCUUUUGCCUGCAUCCCUAGCAUGGCCCCCUACAUUCUUUUCCUGCGUCCUCUCUCCCAGCCCAUUCUUCACAGGGCAUAGUGGCCUUCUUAAAAUGUAAGUCAUUUUUUUGGACAUGGAAUGUCCUUGCUCAGAGUCUCCAGACUCCUCAUUGCACCUGGAACAAAAUUGCCUAGCUGUGCUCUGCGGACCUCUGUUUCUCUUUCUGCCUCCUGCCAUUUGGCCAAAGAUGGGAGCAGUCACAGAGGCACAUGACCAUGGAGUAACUUUCCAGCUCCAGCUUUCUGGUCAUAGAGCCAGAAAGGGGCAUUGUAGAAAAGUACUGGAGAACCGAACUAACAGACCAUCAACCAGGCUCCAGAUGACCACUGAGUAGUAACUGGUUCAGGGUCUAUCCAAAUUGUACUGCAAAGGCUUUGGAAACAACUUAAAUGUGAACCACAACUCACAAAAGGCAGGUUGAGCUUGUAGUAUGACCCUAAGCAGGUCUAUUGCCUAAAACAAAAAUAUGUACAUACUGUAUAGGAUUUAAACAAGACCCAGGGUCUCAUUACAAAAUAUAAUUUCCAGGAGACAGUCCAAAAUUCUUGGCAUAUGAAAAACCAAGGAAAUCUCAUCUCACGUGGGAAAACAACAAUCAACAGACAUCAACAGUAAAAUUGACACAGAUGUUGGAAUUAUCUGGCAAUGACUUGUCCACAGCUAUUGUACGACUGCUCCACCAAACAGUCACACCCUUGAAAACCAGCUUGUCUCAUGAAGGGCUUGGUAGGGAGAGGGGCAGAGAGAGAGACAAUCUUAAGCAGGCUCCACGCUCAGCACAGAGCCCAAUGCAGGGCUCGAUCCCACCACCCUGGGACUAUGACCUCAGCUGAAAUCAAGAGUCAGAUGCUCAAUUGACUGAACCACCCAGGCGCCCCUUAACCAUUUUUAAGCGUACAGUUUGGUAGUGUUAAGUAUACCCACACUGUUGUGGUUAUAGAUCUUUAGUACCAUUUCAUAUUGUUAAACUGAAACUCUAUACCCUGAAAUGCUAGUAAACCCUCCUUCUCACCCUCUCCAGCCCUUGGAAACCACUUUUCUAUCUUCUAUUUCUAUGAUUUUGACUACUGUAGAUACUUCAUAUUAGUGGAAUCACACAGAUUUUGUCCUUUUGUGACUGGCUGAUUCCACUUAGCAUGUCUUUGAGGUUCCUCCAUGUUGUAUAGCGUGUGACAGGAUUUCAUCAUUUUAUUUAUUUAUUUUUGCUUCUUAUUAAAAUUUUUUUAAAUUUAUUUAUUUUGAGAGAGAAAGAGAGAGGCGGGGGAGGGCAGAGACAGAGAGAGAGAGAAAAUCCCAAGCAGGCUUGGUGCUGUCAUGCAGAGCCUGAUGCGGGGCUCCAACCCAUGAACUGUGAGAUCAUGACCUGAGCUGAAAUCAAGAGUCAGACGCUUAACUGACUGAGCCACUCACACGUUCCAGGAUUUUGUAUUUUAAAAGCAGCAUAUUCCUCUGUAUGUAUAUACCAGAUUUUCUUCAUUCAUUCAUCUGUCAACAGACAUUUGAGUUGCUUCCACUUCUUGGCCACUUUGGAUAAUGCAGCAACGGACGUGGGUAUGCAGACAUUUUUUUCAGAUCCUGUUUUAAAUUAUUUUCUUUUUUAAAAUUCCUUUUAGACAAAUACCCAGAAUCGGGAUUGCUGGGUCACAUGGUAGUUGUGUUUUUAAUUUUUGGAGGCACCUCCAGAAACUAAGUAUCUUCCACAGCAGCUGCCCCACUUCAUAGUCCUGCCAACAGUACACAAAGCACUUCAGUUUCUCCACAUGCUCACCGUCACUUGUUAUUGCCUGACUUGUGUGUGCGUUUGUUUAGUGGUGACCAUCUAGUAGGUCUGAGAGGAUAUCUCCCUGUGGUUUUGAUUUGCAUCUCUCUUAUGACUUGUGAAGUUGAGCAUCUUUUCAUAUGUUUGCUAGUUACUUCAGAUUUCUUCUUUCUUGCUGCCUGGUAUAACUCUUUCCGUCCUUUUACUUUCAAUCUGCUUGUGUCUUUGUACUCAGGGUCCUUUUUUUUUUUUUUUUUUGUAUAUAGUGUGCAAUUGUUUUUUUUUUUUUUUUUUAAGUUUCUGUUUUGUUUUUAAUCCAUUCUGACGAUCUCAUUUAAUUGGCAUGCCUAGUGUAUUUAAGGUACUUCCUGAUACCAGGAGGUGAUCUUUGAGGGCAGAGGGCAGACUCUGUUAGCAUAACGGCCCACUGAAGAUGUUUGUGACCUAAUCACCAGGACCUGUGAACAUGUUGUUUUACAUGGCAAGAGGCAUUUUGCACAUGGGAUUAAGGUUACUGACCUUAAAAUGGGGAAGUUAUUCUGGAUAAUCUGGGUGGGCCCAGUCUAGUCACAUGAUUCUUCAAAGCAGAGAACCUUUCCUGGUUGGUCGGAGAGAUGAGACAGAAGAAAAAGGAGGACAGAUUUGAAGCAUGAAAGAGACUCAACCCAAAGUGGUGGCCUUUGAAGAUGGAGUAAGGAAGCCUCGAGUCGUGGAAUGCAGCAGUGCCUUGUGGGAGCUGGGAAUGAGCCUCGGCUGACGGCUAGCAAGAAGGCAGGACACUCAGUCAUACAACCUCAAGGAACUGAAUUCUGUCACCGAUCUGAGUGAGCAGAAAACGGAUUCUGCCCUACAGCCUCUACAAAGCCUGUCAACAAGUUGACUUUGGCCUGGUGAGACCUGUUCAGGACUUCUGACCUUCAGAACUUUAAGAUAAUAAAUCUAUUGUUUUAAGCCA
Neofelis nebulosa (Clouded leopard) is the source of this 5168-nucleotide RNA transcript. RefSeq lists it as uncharacterized. Lineage: Eukaryota; Metazoa; Chordata; Mammalia; Carnivora; Felidae. The transcript is spliced from 3 exons. The record is from RefSeq and is a predicted model, not a curated record.